GCUCAUCUUACAGGACCUUCAGUUGUGCUGGUUCCAAGCAGAGUGUCUCUGGAGAUAUCAUCAGCUACAACUACAGGUGCAUGCUUCCUUAAAUCAGUCUGAACAUUAACUUUUACAAGAACACUUUGCUAAGAGAUCUGGUGGAUUCUUCCUCAGCUUGGUUCCCAGAGGAGAUGUGUUUCUAGAAGCUUUCGUUCGUCUUGAGGAGCCUGCAGCGAGCGCUGGCCCAAAACAGAAGACUGUUGCUGUUAGAGAACGUGUCACCCACAGGAGGUCCUGCUUCAACAGGAGAGGAACCGCAGAGGGUUGCUCUGAAGACCAGAGACUGGUUUGUGAGAGAGCAGUGCAGGGCUAAUAUAUCAAGAUCUAGUCCCAUAAGCAGAGACAUGAGAACAGGCAGAAUCCACACCUACCUUUAAGCCCCUCAAAGGAGGAAGAGGAUGCAGCUCAGCAGCCUUCCUCUUGCAUCACUGGUUUCUAUUACAUGGACGUCUUUACAGGCAAAAAGGAAGUCUUUAGCUAAACCAGUUGUAUUUGAGCUGGGGCCUACAAAAUGCUUAUCACAAUCUUUAGGCACCAGUUUCCAUAGUCCAAGAAUCAAUGAAGGUGCCACAGACUUUGACCACUUCAAGUGAACAUGUGCACAACUUUCCCUUGCUGCUCCCUGCACACCUGACACCCUUGGGUGAAUUCACCUACAAUUAAAUUAGCAGAUAACACAUACAACCACGAUGCAAAGGGAUCUGGAAAGAUUAGGGCAGCCCUGCACCCAGCUGGGGGAGGAAGCCUAGCACUUUUGAUCUUAGCUCCAAGGAGAAUACACCCCAAAUCAUUCUAUAACCAAGCAAUGCAUCCACCAAGAGAGCACUAGAUUUUCAUCUCAUCCUGUCCAUGCCACUCCACCCUACCCUUUUAGCAAGCUGAGCACUAGAGUUGGCUCAGGGAACUUGUGGCAUCAGGUUUGUGCCCAGCUCCACCAAGAUUAUUUGAGCCCCACUGAUUUCAAUGGAUGUCCAUAACCGAGAGAUCUGGGCCUGGAUACCUAUUUAGCUGGUUAGGGUCUCUCAGCUCUUUCAGCGUGAACUGAUGUAACCUCUCCCUCCAAUUGUUAAUGCCUUAUGUUCCCUUCCUAAGCACAGUUCCAGCAUGUGGCACCUCACCCCUGCAAUUGAUAUAUGGAGUCUUACAUGGGGUCUAAGCACCACAGCUCCGUUUUCUGAACAAAAGCUCAAGAGUUCACCUGUUGGUCAACAGGGGAGUGGGCUGAAAGUGUGAGGAGCAGUUACCAGUAGGUUUCACCCAUCUCCUCAUCAGACCUAUCCAUCAUCAGCAUUUCACACCAAUAAGUGAUCUGUAGCAUCCAAAGUGAUUGGGGGGCAGGGAGGAGAGGAAUUAAAUAUUUCUGGUUUGCAUCCUUCAAAGGGCUGGUGAUGGGGAAGGGGUAGAGGGGUGAACUGCCCAUUCUCCCUUUUUGUUAUUGUGCCAACAGAUUAUGAGAACCCCCCCUCCCCCCCCCCAAAAAAAG
Long non-coding RNA from Mauremys mutica (yellowpond turtle), 1525 nucleotides. RefSeq lists it as uncharacterized. The transcript has 3 exons. Lineage: Eukaryota; Metazoa; Chordata; Testudines; Geoemydidae. The record is from RefSeq and is a predicted model, not a curated record.